RNAcentral lists this ribosomal RNA (250 nucleotides) under uncultured bacterium. RNAcentral describes it as "partial 16S ribosomal RNA". It matches the Rfam family "Bacterial small subunit ribosomal RNA", at positions 1250 to 1500 of the family's 1533-position model. The record is from RNAcentral.
CGAGACUGUGAAGUGGAGCAAAUCUCAAAAAAUUGUCUCAGUUCGGAUUGCAGGCUGCAACUCGCCUGCAUGAAGUCGGAAUUGCUAGUAAUCGCGGAUCAGAAUGCCGCGGUGAAUACGUUCCCGGGUCUUGUACACACCGCCCGUCACACCAUGGGAGUCGGAAAUGCCCGAAGUCUGUGACCCAACCUACGGGAGGGAGCAGCCGAAGGCAGGUCGGAUGACUGGGGUGAAGUCGUAACAAGGUAAC